This 358-nucleotide unclassified non-coding RNA is filed under the name uncultured Chloroflexota bacterium. RNAcentral describes it as "uncultured Chloroflexi bacterium contains 16S-23S intergenic spacer region". Lineage: Bacteria; Bacillati; Chloroflexota. The record is from RNAcentral.
UCCGGCUUGUACCGGCAGUCUGCUGUGAAGUGCAACACAGCACGAGGGUUGCGCUCGUUGCGGGACUUAACCCAACAUCUCACGACACGAGCUGACGACAGCCAUGCAACAUCUGUGACCCUGCCUUGCGGGGACCCCGUUUCCGGGGGUUUCAGGGCCAUGUCAAGUCUGGGUAAGGUUCUGCGCGUUGCAUCGAAUUAAACCACACGCUCCGCUGCUUGUGCGGGGACCCGUCAAUUCCUUUGAGUUUUAACCUUGCGGCCGUACUCCCCAGGUGGGCAACUUACUGCGUUAGCUACGGCACGGAGGGGCUCGAUACCCCCCACACCUAGUUGCCAUCGUUUACUGCGUGGACUAC